CGCUUCUUGGUCGCCUGGGCGUACAUUGCUGGUGCUGGCCAUUGAUUUUAGCCUUGCACAAGGGUGCUCCAGCUCGCCACCCAUUUGGACUGCCUUUCUAACAUGCUGUUAUCACUAUUGUGGCCUCUCCGCUCUUUCUGAACUCUAUGAACUUCCAGAUUCUGCUUUGAAGAGAUAGCUGUCCCAUGAUGUUUAUAAUGAGAUAUGAAGAACUGCCUAGGAGAAAAUCAGAGAUCACAGCAGGUUAUCAGCUGAAAUCUUGUGAACACUCCCUAUGGCUGCAACACCAUGCAAGGUGACCCUACACCAGUGGGGGCAAGAGACAACAGGAGAAAUGGAUCAUGAAAUAAAACUGUAACUGCAACCUGAGGCUGUUCUACUACUGCUACUACUACUACUACUACUACACCAUGAGGCUGUGUUCCACCCAUCUGCUAUGAUGCUUAUUGAAGAAUAUUUAUUUUUGUCUUGUAAUUUUAUGUGUGCUCAUGCACACUUCAUUUCAUAGUUUUGAUGGUUGUUCUGUGCAUGUUUCACCUCAAU
Molecule: long non-coding RNA, 543 nt
Organism: Schistocerca serialis cubense
Lineage: Eukaryota; Metazoa; Arthropoda; Insecta; Orthoptera; Acrididae
Exons: 3
Source: RefSeq, a predicted model, not a curated record